This 7493-nucleotide long non-coding RNA is filed under the name Homo sapiens (human). RNAcentral's name for it is "HSALNT0339978". The record is from RNAcentral. Lineage: Eukaryota; Metazoa; Chordata; Mammalia; Primates; Hominidae.
UAAAUAAAUUUUUAAAAACUUACUUUUUAAUUAGCAACUGCUGUUAUUUAUUAUAAAAUUUAAAGUACUUAGUGCGUUGACUAUUAUAUGAAAGGCUUGAAUUACAUUAUCUUAAAAAAAUUAAAUAAAAUAAGACUUUCCUUGGUCUGACUUGCUAUUAUUUAAAACUUUAGUAACUCUUAUAAUUAAAGUAUACCUUACUUUGAGGGACAAAUCCAUUUCCUUAGAAAUGAGUUAAGAUUCAUCAGUACUAGUACACAGAACUGGGUCAAUUAUGUUAGCCAUUUACAUUUUCCCAUAAUUUUACUUAUCACUCUGUAUCCAUAAAGUAUCCUUUCUGUCUCUGGAGAAUAUCUUUAGCCUGGGAUUUUCUACAGUUUGCACAAGUAGUUCAGAAAUGUUUGGUAAAUAAAUUCCAAGGGUUUCUUUGAAAUUAGUCCUGAAGAAGAGGUGCCCAUAAAAAUCUCUUUUUACAUUCUUUGGCAUGCCUAAGACUGCCUUGCAACAGUUGUCAUAGACAGUAAUUCAUAUAUAAGGUGUUAAGUUCUUAACACAUUCAAAGAAGACUGGUGACUCACUGCCCAAGAUAACAUGGUUGAGGCAGCUCCAGCAGUUUGUCGCCUAAGAAAAUUACAGAAGAAUGUGUUAGAGAAGGCAAGGUGAUCACUUUUACAGUAUUUUUUAUUAUUGCUCUCAUUAUUUAUUGUUAGUAAUAAUUACUAUUAUUGCCAACAACAAGCUACUUUAUUUCUAAAAAUUUACUUUUGCAGUUUGCAAUUCCUUUAUCUCCAGACCUGAAGGCCAAAUUUUAAUUGCACUGUAAUUUCCAAUCAAGUAACCAUGACACCAGCUGUUCUUGCCAGGCUCUAUUCUGUGGUAGAGGGGGAACCUGUGUUCUCUUUACAUGGUUAUGCUGGAAAGUAUAUGGAUAAGGCAGGGGUCCUGCCUGAAGUAAUCCCAGGGUAUUUUUAAUGUCCUUUAAUUGCCAUUCAGGAUGUAAGUCAGACACAAUUGGGUCUGGUCACAGUUUAGGACUACUGAGCCCUGUUUAUAUAAAGGUGAAUUUAGCAAAUAAAUCUGAAGCUAUUACUUAUGUACAAUUUAUUUUUCUUUAACAUCUAUUGAUUUCUAAGCAAUGUGAAACUAGUUCCAGUAUACUCUAUGUAUUAUAUGUCUUCAUUUUGUUUUGUUUGUGAUCCCUGGAUAGCAUUGGCAGUGAGGUGGGAGGAGGAGAUGUAAUUGAGAAUUUGACAAGGGCCUUGCUACCAUAAUCAAACUGAAACCUUAUCAGACUUAUUUGAAGUUUUCAAGAAGUCCGAUUUUCUUGAGGUUUGAUAAUGUUAACAGAUGAAAAGUAUAUGACGUUAAGUUUUAAGUCUGUCUUUCUAUGUAUUUGCCAUAAAAUUCUGUUUUGCAUUGCUUGGGUGAUGUAGUUGUGAACAUUUUAAAUUUACAUGCAAAUUUCAUAGUAGUCAUCUUUCCUUCAGGUCCAAGGAAAGUAUGGCAGCAGAUAUGCCUUCUGUCUUUUGCCUUGGAGGGAUUUUGACCUGACCUGAAGCUGGCGCCUAGUCUGGAGUCAAGAGCUGGAGAUUUCUAUCUGUGACAGAACUUUGAAACUCUUGCAGGACACUUUCAUUUCAACUUAAGGUAACUUGAGUUUAUAGCUUUGGCUUUAAAGAUUACUAAUGAUUUACUCAUUUCCUUACCAUUUAACCAGAGUGGACUUUUUCCCAGGAAGGGAUCUGUGUUUAUUUAGGGCCUUUGUCUGCGGAGGGAUUAAAAGGCAGCCCACCAGCAUUGUGAACUUGAUGGUCAUAAAAGGUCACCAAAACACACCAUAAAAACAUUCUUACCAUGGAAUUAAUUAUACAGUGUAAUUUUACAAAGCAACUUGGUUACUCCAUCUUACCCCCUCCCCCAUAUUUAAACAUUUCAACUUUUAAAAAGUAAAUCUUUGGUAUAAUUUUGGUUUAUGAAAAAAAUGUUUUAUGAUGUUUAAAUGCUGAGGAAAUUGUCAUGUGCAUAUGUACAGUUUAAUUGCUUAAAAAUCUUAAAAUUUUUGAAAUGAAAAUGAUCAUUUAUUGUUAAACUGUGGGAUGAAUAACUUGUUUGGGAGGAGGUUAGAGUAGUCAGAAGAGUUGGUUAGUAUUUCAUAGAACAGCUCAGUUUCCAAAAACCUAAGUCCAGCUAAGAAUUUAUCUGUGCCACCAGGUGGCAUUGCAUCCAAACCUGCUAAUGAUAAAAGGAUUAUAAAAUAUAUUAUUUUUUGUUAAAGAUAUAACGAUUUUACUUUUGAAGUUGACUGAAAACUACAUCUGAUAUCAAGGUUAAGUAUCUGCAAAGAAUUGAAAAGAUUUCUAAACUCUAAAUAUUUGUUUUUAGGUUGUUGAUAUUAAAACGAAAGUAAAUGAAAAUGAAAUAUUUGGAGGGGAUUGCUAUUUUUCAUUUAGUAAAAUAAGCAUUUAACAUUUGGCUUUUUUUUUUUUUUUUUUUUUUUUUUUUGCUUGUCUAAACACUGGAGAGGGGAAUCCAGCGUAUAAAAAUUCUCACAAAUAUUUCAAAUCCCCGCCCCCCACCAUGUGGCAAGAUUCCACCCCCCUCCCUGGGUCUUGUAAAAAAAAAAAAAAAAAAAGUGUCAGCAGGUUUUACUGUAUGGGAAUUUUUAAAAAGAGGGAGAAACCUCUGAAAGGUGCAAGUUGGUCCUUUUCACAAGCCUAACUAUGAGAUUCAUUAGGCAGUUCAUGUUCAUGUCUUAAAAGCUGUUUUUGGGAAAGUAAAUUCUUGAGUUUCCUGUACUGUUUUUCAGGGAGUCUUUAUAGUCUUUUGAAUCAGCUCAUUUUAAAACAGUGAUAAUGUAAAAAGCACAAUAAAAAAAGGCUCAUUAUAAAUUUUAUAAAAGUGUGAUUUUUUUCAUUAAAAUACGUAUUCAUGUUCUAUUUUUAUGAACCCAUAAAUAUAAGUUAAUAAACUGUAGCAGAAACAAUUAAAUUACUUAAUACAGCUAUCCAGGUGAUAGGAUAUGUUGUCAGAAUAAAUAAAGCUCAGUGUAUAUUCUAUUGAUUUUUAUUCUUUUAAAAAAUGUAUUCACCAUGCAGAGUGAUGUUUAAUGCUUAGCUUUGAUCAUUUAGCAAAAAGCUUAGUGCUACUCAUUUUAUACUCUUGCCUCUUCUGAGGCUUCUUAAUGUGCACAACCUGUUUUAAGAAAUGUAUAUGUUUUCAAAGUAAAUGUUUGACCUCCCACCUUGAUGUUCCCACUUAAAAGCAAAACCCUCCCCUCCCUUAUAUUUUGAAUAACUUGAUGAGAAUGUGUGUUGUACUAAAACUAAAUAUAUGCACCCUUCAGUAUUACCAAAAGAGACCUUUUGGUUUUAAAAAUUAGGAAAUUUCACUUUUGAAAGUAGUCUAGACAAAGGUACUCAUGACAUUUGACCCUGAAAUUUUUACUUUUAAACUUGAUGCAACAGUCUGCUUCUUAGCUUUGUUGUAUGCUAAUAUUUCUACUUAUUUAACAUCAAAAAGCUGUAGAGGUUUCUCUUUAUAGAUUAUGCCUGUGUUCUGGAAUUGCCUCCUGCUGUCCAUGAAUUGCUUCUUGGCUUGUUGUGUUAGAAUUUCUCACCAGGGUCUUUUGUGAGCUAUGUAGCCAACAUUAAAAAAAAAAAAAUCAAAUUUGAUAGAGUAAACUGGACUAGUAAAAAUUAUACUUACUAUUCAUAAUUAUAAUUGAGGUUUCUUGGCUCAGCAUAUCAAUUUUAUGCAGUAAGAGUAAGCACAUACAAAUCUCAUGUAAUGAUAUGCAUACAUAUAGUUGCCUACAAUGACUGUUUUUCUAGUUAUUUCUAUAAUAUUAAAAUGAUUUUUUUGCUGAAAUUCCAGAAAUCUAAAAACAUUGAAAAAUAAUGAUAAUGAGAAAAACAAUUCUUACUUGUUAGGGUAUAUGUUAUUUAGUAAUGAAGCAUUUAGAUUUUGGAUUCUCUCAUUUCAGUUGGAAAUAGUAUUGGUGUAAGUGAGUGUUGCCAUGGGAACCUCCACAUAGAUAUAAAAGGCAAUACUGUCUAAGUGGAGGAGGAGGGGCGAUGUACUGAAAUACCACUGGCCUAAAUGAUCUAUUUUAUGUAUGUGUGUUGGUGUGGGGGUGAGAGCUAGGAUGAAAAGGGGAGAGAAAGUACUACAGAAAGUAAAUGUUAGCAGUCAAAGCAAUUUACUCACACUUUUGGAUUCUUUUAGAUAGAAGUGUUUUAAAGCUCGAAAUGUGAUUCUUAAUUAUUGGUAUCAUUUGCACACACUGGGGAGUCUUUGCAUAUCUUAUUUUUAAUGUACAGUGGAAUAUGUUUAACUUACUUGGUUUUAGAUAAAAUUUAAUUUAGUGAAAUUUGAGAGUUAGGAUUUCAGUCUUUGAAAUGGCUUUAUACAUGUUAUUAAAGAUGUUAUAUUUAAUUCUUUUUAAAUAUCUGAAAUUUAGAAAAACUGAUUAGGACACAGUUAAUGUGGCUUUCAAAGAAAAGCUGGCAUUUUGGCUUUAUAGUAUUUUUAAUACUAGAUUUUUAGUAAUUUUCUAUAAAUAUAUAGGCAAGGAAACAAUGACUUACUGUAUCUGCAUGUGUAAUAUUUUAUGGUUAAAAAAAUAAAGAAUGAAAACAACAAAACCUAACAUAAAAUCUUUUUAUAUCCCUUAGGAGCACAUAAAGAUUGUAGAGAUAGAGAUGAUUAGAGAACAACCAAUUUAACUGCAUGCAAAGUAACAUUUUUGUUUUUUGUAUGUUUAGGUUACAAAAAAACAAUGAAAUUGUGCCCAACCUGAGUUAGCCUGGUAAAAUGCAGCAGCAUCAUCAUUGCAGUUUUAACACUAUGGAUUCUGGUUGUCAGAUACAAAUAUAAAAAAAAGAAGAGAUAUUAACUGACAAAAACUGUUUAAACUUACCUUUUUAGUCAAUCCAGAGAAAAAGCUGCCAAGGUAAUAAAACAUCCAGAAGUUUUUAAGUUAAAACGAGUAAUUUAAAUUAAAAGGGGUGAGGGGGCAUGAGCAAGCAAGGGAGAAGAAAAAAGGGGUGAAAACGACAGGCACUUUGCUUCCUGGGCCUGGCUGUAUCUGAUGUAAAUUAACCAGCAGUGGGGAGUGUAUUGUUUCCAACUCCACAUAAACAAUGCUGGGUAUCUCUUUGGGAAUGGGUGGGUGCUGGGAUGGAUGGAGGUUGUUGAGAAGGGAACUGGCAAGCAGAGUUUAUAAUCUAUUAGUGGAUUUUUUUUGGCAUGCGAAACAUAGUAGGAAAGAGUAAAUAAUGAGAAAGUACGUUUGCAUGUAAAAUUGAUCAAGUGAAACCUUAAAAUGAUGUGAAAUAAUUCAUAAUUGUUAGAGAAUGCUUAUUUGUCAGUAAUCUUCAGGUUUAAAAAAAUUUUUUUUAAAGACUGACGCCUUGUAAUGUAAAACGUUCAGCAAUGAAGAUACCCAGUUUUAAGUGUACUUUUGGCAUAGUAUAUCAGCUUAGCUCUAAACAUGGCUUCUAAAAACUAAAAGACUAAGGAAACUUGUAUUUCUUUGAAAAAUAGGUAACAAGAGGGAUGAAAAGUCAAGUUUAUUUUUAAAAAUAAGAGAAUGAAAGUAAGAGCUACAACAUCCAUGUUGUUUUUCUGUUUCAGUUUUUGCCUGCUGCUUUUUCUUCCCUGCACUCUUUCUUGGAAUAAAAUCUGAUAGUCUUAACGGAGUGGAAAGUGUGAAAAUGCACACAGCCUUAUCAAUAAGUAGAUUCAAAACAUCUCUAAUCACCUUAAAGUUUUAUAGUGCAGAAUUUUCUAGAAGUCAACUGAUUAAUUAAGUACCUUUUGUGUGUCAGUUUAUCACACUGGGUUGUUUCUGUAUUUUAAAACAUUUCAUCCUUAUAGCAUCCCCAUGAAAUGCAGAUUAUCCUCUUUUUUUUUUUUUCAGUGAGGAAGUUGAGUCUCAGGAAGGCACAAUAGGACAAUAUGCAAUUUUAAGAAUUAGCCUGAUUUAGCAAAAAUAAGACAUUUUAGGUAGAGGAUUUUCAAUAUUAUUGCAGGAGACUAAUACAUUCAAGUUUGGAGUUUCUUUGGGUUGCUAGAAUAACUAAAAGGCUUUGGUUUGUUUCAUUUAAAAACAAAAUAGAGAAAAAUACUUUUUCUUGUUCUAUCGAUAUCACACCAUUCAAUGACCCCACUCCCACACAAUACCCACAAUCAAAAUAUAGAAAGAAUUAUUAGCUAACCAAAAAAAGUUCACAUAGGUAAUCUAAAGUAAUUUUAUUUUUGGUUUUAAGUGCUUUAAUCUAGUUAACUAAAGGAACAAAAAGGGCAAACAUGUAUAAACAAGUGAAAACCAGAAUUUUUAACCUUCUAACAUAAUAUCCUUCAUAGGUCUUUUAGCAAUUGGAUUAUUAAAAAGCCAGAAUACCUUAUUUAGUUAUUAAUCAUAAUAUGAGUACACAGGACAGCUUUACGUAUUUUCCCCUUUACCUUAAAUUUUUAAAUUUUUAUUUUCCAACAUUACCCAGUUAAAUGCACUUUUAUAACUUUUUAAAUACCCAAAAUUGACCUUUACAAAAUAUCAAUGAGAAUUUCAGUAUUCAACAUUAAUCACUGAUAAGCUUUUUUUUAGCACGUUUAUAGUAUAGGUAUUUAACGUUAAUACAUGAUUAACAGUGUAUCAAGCUUAUUGCACAAUCAUAAUAAAAUACACUAUUCAGUGCUAAUUAGGCAUUGCAAUUAUCAUUUGGUGUUGUACUGAAAGAAUUAUAUUGGUAACUGAUGCUUUUCAUCUUGUUAGUAUUUUUAAUCCCUCUCAAUAUAUAUAAUCUUUCAGUAGUUUCAUCAAAAGAAAUCUGUUCCAACAACUUUAAACAGAGGACCUUCAAGAGUGUGAGGUGUGUGUAAUAGUUUUAUCUUGAAGAGAACUCAGUGAAAGAUACUUUCUAGAUUAUGUUAAAAAGAUCCAAUCAACCGGCCCAUACUCAUCAUGAUUUAACUUUUACAGUUUUAUACAUAGGUUUCAUUGAAGGCUGUAAGAAAAUCUGAUGUUUAUAACAUUUUCCUUUGCCAGUGUUUGUCUGAAUUUUGCAAAGAUCAAGUAUCCAAAGUACGAAAUGCUAGUGUAUUUUUGGAAAACAAACCAAAACCCACUUACCCAAUAGAUUUUACAUAUUCUAAGAACGAGAAUUCAGUAGUCUGGUAAGUCUGGCUUCAUAACUCAUAGAUUUCUUGCACCAAAUAAGAUUGUCAGCAGUUUGGAAAGAAGAGUAAAGAAGAGGCUCUUCUUCUUACAUUGGUGUGUUCAAAAGUAAAAUAUAAACCAGUAUUUUUGUUACUAUAGCUUAGAGCACUAAAGAAGAGCCAUCUACCAGUUUCCAGAUUGUUUUAGAAGUAGUGUCUGAAGACCUUUUCAUUUCAACUUGUUCUUAUUCUAAAGAUUCCUGGCUCGUUAUAUACUAAAUUGUUUCUAGAAAUGCUUACUAGAUAGGUUGCUGUGAAAGGAAAGGUUUCGAAAA